AUGGAGAUUGCCAUAUCUGCAGUUACAGGUGAACUAGUGAGCCGGUUCAUCUCCUUCCUGAUGAAAAAGUACCACUCCUCCCUCCAUGCGAAAUUAGAGGAGAAGAUAGUAGUGGAGAGGUUGCAACACCUCCUGAUAAGAGCUGCCACCAUCGUCGAGGAGGCGGAUGCACGGUACAUAACCAACUCAGGGAUGAUGAUGCAGCUCAAGAAGCUUUCUGAGGCCAUGUACCGAGGAUACCACGAGCUGGACACCUUGAGGUACCGAACUCUCCAAGGCGGUGCAGGCUUCAACGAGGUUAGCAACGACUCAUCUACCAGCUGCUUGUAUGUAGCUAAGCGUUCUCGGACAACUGACACGGCCAUGCACCUCAAGUCACAUACUGCCUUGGAAAGCUUAGAAAUUGCUAUAGCUAACAUGGCAGAAUUCAUUGUACUUAUGGGCGGAUGUGAACACAUGGUUCGUAGGCCCUAUGAUGUUUAUCUUUACACCGACAACUUCAUGUUCAACCGGCAUGCUGAGAAGCAGAAGCUCUUGAGCUUCUUGUUGCAGCACAAUGAUCUUACCGGUGGUCAUGCACUGGAUGUUCUUCCGAUCAUAGGUACUUCUGCAACUGGGAAGAAAACUUUGGUUGCUCAUGUGUGUGGCGACGGAAGAGUUCGCACACGCUUCCCGUCUGUUUUACACUUGAAUGGAGACAACCUUUUGACGAUACUUGACCAUGGAAGGGCCAUGGUUGGGAUGAUGUUAGUAGUUAUUGAAUUUGCUUCUGAUGUAGGUGAUGAUGAGUGGAAAAAGUUUCACUCAUUCGUCAUAAGAAUGGGAAGAGGAAGCAAGAUCAUCAUCAUUAGUAGGCUUCAAAGACUAGCUCGAUUUGGAACGGUGAAUCCGAUUUUCUUAAGUGUUCUAUCUUAUGAUGAGUUGAGCUACCUUUUCAAGACUCUGGCAUUCGGAAGUGUAGACCCUGCAGAACAUCCAAGGCUAGUACAGCUAGCAGAUAAAUUUGCCAAGGGGUUGCACGGUACACAUGGUUCACUUCUCGCAGCAAAUAUGUUUGUAGAUGUGUUGAGAAGGAAACUCGAUAUUCAGUUUUGGCGUUGCAUAUUGGACAAGGGGCUAAGAUACGUUAGAAGAAAUCUCUCCAUGUAUGGUGCGCACCCAAGCACACUUAUAGAACAAGGCCAUCCAGUGGACAUAACAGACUUUGCUUUGCAUCCACUUAGCAUGACACCUUAUACUGUUUAUGUUUCAAUGAAGAAGGAAUCACCAAGUGUGACAUUUGGGCAACUUCUAUCAGAUCCUAGUGUUAGACCAGAACAAGACUUUAUGCUAAUUUCAUGGGAAUCAAGAAUGCCACCUCAUAACUCAUUUGCUUGUUUUGUUACAAGUCAUGCUCAGGCCACAUUUGAAGGUAGUGCCAUACCAGGGCGGAAGCGAAGAGGAGUGCCAAUCUAA
This 1455-nucleotide ribosomal RNA is filed under the name Triticum aestivum (bread wheat). Its description in RNAcentral is "partial small subunit ribosomal RNA". Lineage: Eukaryota; Viridiplantae; Streptophyta; Magnoliopsida; Poales; Poaceae. The record is from RNAcentral.